This is a non-coding RNA of Paramuricea clavata, 970 nucleotides long. The record is from the annotation of a GenBank genome assembly. Lineage: Eukaryota; Metazoa; Cnidaria; Anthozoa; Malacalcyonacea; Plexauridae.
CCAACGCCUCUAUAUCGAGUCCUUUCCCUGCACUACAAGAGCUAUACGCAGUCGCUUUCAAAGUUAGCAUUUUGAAAACUUUUAUAGCAGGGUAAGUUUGUGAGAAACUUUGUGUAAUUUGUUAGAAUUUUACAUAUAUACUGGUUUGUUUGAUAACGUUUUCAGUAUAUACGCAAGAAAACGGGCGUCUGAAGCAAAAGUUACGCCUUUCAGCUGCUAUGCCGCGGAUUUGUACGUUUUACAUGUAUGGUGAUUUGUGGCAUAGUGAUGUUAUAUAGAGUAUAGAUAUAUGUGGACCUGCAGUUAGGCAAUUUCUGGUUGCAAUCGUACCGCGGGCCAAAGCGCAAUUCAUAUACAACGAUUGCUUUAUAAAGUGCAUCAACAUGAUCGAGGAAUGUGUGUCUAAAAUAUUUUAAGAAAGUAGCCACAUAUGCCGUAGUUUUAGAUAAAACUGUAAUCUUGCCAUGUAACCAAAAUUGUCUUCGGUCUAAAGCUAAUCACUGUGUAUAUGCUAUAUUUACGUAAAGUUCUAAGCGUUGAUAUAGCAGAAUUAAUGAAGUAUAAAUAUAGGACCGCCGCCGUAAGGUAUAGCGCGUUCUAGAUAUAGAUAGAUAGGUAGUUUGUUAUGAUAAAAAGAGCUUUCUUGUUCUUAAAAACCAUUUUUCAGUUGUCCAGAAAAUAGUCUAACUGAUGAAGUAAACCGCCCACAUGCAUCAUGGCCGGCGCGUUGGCUGUUUGGGUUGACAAACAAGUUCAAAGCGAAAGUGUCAACUGUAAAAAGCCAUAGUUUUGUUAUGGAGUAAAAGGAUGGACAGAUAGGUAGUUUAUUAUUAUAAAAGAACUUCAUUAUUGUUAAAAAAAAUUUUUGUCCCAGUUAGAGUAGUCAAACUCAUGAAGUAGACCGAUCAUGCAUAUCAUGGGUAUAUUGCAUGCAUUAGCUGUUUGGGCCGCUUGAAAAGUUCAAAGGCGA